GACGUAGGAUGCAAGCGUUGUCCGGAUUUAUUGGGCGUAAAGAGUUCGUAGGCGGUUCGUUAAGUCUGAUGUUAAAGACUGGGGCUCAACCCCGGGAGUGCAUUGGAUACUGGCGGACUGGAGUGUGGUAGAGGCUAGUGGAAUUCCCAGUGUAGCGGUGAAAUGCGUAGAUAUUGGGAAGAACACCAGUGGCGUAGGCGACUAGCUGGGCCAUAACUGACGCUGAGGAACGAAAGCCAGGGGAGCGAACAGG
Molecule: ribosomal RNA, 253 nt
Filed under: uncultured bacterium
Lineage: Bacteria
Description: partial 16S ribosomal RNA
Rfam family: Bacterial small subunit ribosomal RNA
Source: RNAcentral